RNAcentral lists this long non-coding RNA (254 nucleotides) under Helianthus annuus (common sunflower). Its description in RNAcentral is "hypothetical non coding rna". The record is from RNAcentral. Lineage: Eukaryota; Viridiplantae; Streptophyta; Magnoliopsida; Asterales; Asteraceae.
GUUUUCUUCGUUGCGAUUCCUACACUUCCAUCACAAAUCAGUUUUCUUCAUUGCGAUUAGUGGAAACGCUCAAGAUUCCAACGAUUCGGCUUAGUAUUGUUUGUUCGGUCACAAUCUAGACCAGAAACCCUAAUUUCAUGGCGAUGCGGUUUACGAACAAACAGAUCUGUGGAUAGAAUGCCCUAGCCGCCGCCUCCAGCAGUGAAGGCUAGGGUUUCAACAAGUUGAUCCUGAGCAAGUCCAGUUUUGAUGGU